Non-coding RNA from Bos taurus (domestic cattle), 73 nucleotides. The record is from Rfam. Lineage: Eukaryota; Metazoa; Chordata; Mammalia; Artiodactyla; Bovidae.
UCCCCGGUGGUCCAGUGGCUAAGACUUCGCCCUCCCAAUGCAGGGGGCCCAGGUUUGAUUCCUGGCCAGGGAA